CAAACAAAAAACUUUAAAGGGGGGGUGAAAUGCUCAUUUUCACUCAAUCUCCUGUUAAUCUUGAGUACCUAUAGAGUAGUACUGCAUCCUUCAUAUCUCCAAAAAGUCUUUAGUUUUAUUAUAUUUAUAAGAGAAAAAUAGUCUGUGCUGAUUUUUUUUCGGUAAAACACGAGCGUCUGGAGGCGUGACAUGUGGGCGGAGCUAAAGAAUCACGAGCGCGAGUAGGCUUUUGCGUUGAGAGCGUUUGGAAGUUGUGACAUUACCGUGAGGAAAAAAAAAACAUCAUCCAAAACAAACCAUGGCUAACAGUCAGAUUCAGCCGUUUAUUUAUGAUCCAGAAUCAGAUCACGAGGCUGAAACUGAACGAGAGCAGCAGCAGCAAUGACUACAGCAGGACGUCUCUAUGUGUACAAGGUUUACUUGAUGUGCUUACGCGCCGAUAGCUAAGUUAACAACACAGAGAUAUUUGAAGCAGUUUUACUCACCGCCUGCGGUUCCAACACACGAUCGUGACCCUUUUUCGUUGGGAUUGCAUCAUCCUUAAGAAAUAAACGAUAUGCAAAUCCGACGUCAAACUGGGUCUUGUUUGUAAAACAAGCAUCUUCGAAAUGCCGGGAACAAACAAAAACACUUGCACAACUCCAUCGAUGCUCUGUAAAAAUAAACUCUGUCCACUGGUUCCUUAAUGUUUUUUUUUUUGGUAAUCUGUGCAGGGUUGUCUUGCCCUCGCAACCAAAAACACACUUCUUUUGUGACAUUUCGCGACGCUCUCGCUCUGAUCAGUGAAUGUCUCUGCUCCGCUUUGCUCUACGGGAGCGCGCGCUCUUCCGGCAGAAGUGCCCUUAUGACCCAUAUAAGGAAAUUCCGCUCCAUCUUACGUCACACAGACCAAUACUCGAAAAAAACUUUCCGAAACUUGUGACAAACCGGAAGGAGUAUUUUUGGAACAAAAAUACUCCUUCAAUUGUACAACUUAAUUUUUGAAACUUUGUCCAUGUUUAGCAUGGGAAUCCAACUCUUUAACAGUAUAAAAAACUCAGUAUGCAUGAAAUAGCAUUUCACCCCCCCUUUAAUG
This is a long non-coding RNA of Carassius carassius (crucian carp), 1075 nucleotides long. RefSeq lists it as uncharacterized. The transcript has 2 exons. The record is from RefSeq and is a predicted model, not a curated record. Lineage: Eukaryota; Metazoa; Chordata; Actinopteri; Cypriniformes; Cyprinidae.